This is a long non-coding RNA of Panthera uncia (snow leopard), 425 nucleotides long. RefSeq lists it as uncharacterized. The transcript has 3 exons. The record is from RefSeq and is a predicted model, not a curated record. Lineage: Eukaryota; Metazoa; Chordata; Mammalia; Carnivora; Felidae.
UUUCAGACUUGGCUGUGAAACUGCCCUGUGGGUCUGAAAUUCAGGAGACAGUAUGGUAAGGCCGUUUUGAUUAGAUUUCUGCAAGCUUCUCUGUCUGAGCCGUCUGCUCAGUACAUGAUACCCAAAGAAGAUUGCACAAUUCUUCACCUGUUGUGUUUCUAAAAUGAAAUGGGAUUAUCUACCUGACAACCAGGACAGGGUUUCAGAGAAAGGCAGGUUGGCACAGUGGAAAGUGCACAGGCUCUGAGUCUUCAGACCCAGUGUUACCACUAUGUGACCCAGGGCAUAUUAAUGAGCCUCAACUCAACGGAACCUCUUCAACUCAACCUAUGACAAUAACACUUCAUUCACAGAGGUCAUGUGAGUACACACCAAGAUGGCGGCCACCUACAAGCCAACAGAGAAGACUUCAGAAUGAAACCUAU